CGCUCCUUGCAAAAAUAUUGAGGAAUAAGGAGUUCUGCCUGCCCAGUGACGUAGUUAAACGGCCGCGGUAUUUUGACCGUGCAAAGGUAGCAUAAUCAUUUGCCUCUUAAAUAGAGGCUGGUAUGAAUGGCAAGACGAAGGUUAAGCUGUCUCUUUCUUAAUUGUUGAAUUUAAUAUUUUUGUGAAGAAGCGGAAAUAAAUUCGUAGGACGAGAAGACCCUAUCGAGCUUUAGUAGAGCUAUUAGUAGUUGUAUAAUGUUGAGGAUCUAAUUGAGCUGUUUGGCAGUUUUCGAAGUUUUAGUUCUUUAGGGGUUAUUAGGUAAUAGUGUAGCUUUGGUUGGGGCAAUCGCGGAGCAAAUGAAACCUCCGCUACAAGUAUAAAAAAUUACUAUUUUAUAAAAGUGAUCCGCUGUGUAUAGCGAGCAAAGGAAUAAGUUACCGUAGGGAUAACAGCGUAAUUUUUUUGGAGAGUUCAUAUUGAUAAAAAAGUUUACGACCUCGAUGUUGGAUCGAGAUUUCCUAGAGAUGCAGCAGUUUCUAAGGGUUGGUCUGUUCGACCAUUAAAAUCUU
RNAcentral lists this ribosomal RNA (570 nucleotides) under Coronaster halicepus. RNAcentral describes it as "partial 16S ribosomal RNA". It matches the Rfam family "Bacterial large subunit ribosomal RNA", at positions 1816 to 2597 of the family's 2925-position model. The record is from RNAcentral. Lineage: Eukaryota; Metazoa; Echinodermata; Asteroidea; Forcipulatida; Labidiasteridae.